Molecule: unclassified non-coding RNA, 285 nt
Filed under: Hevea brasiliensis (rubber tree)
Lineage: Eukaryota; Viridiplantae; Streptophyta; Magnoliopsida; Malpighiales; Euphorbiaceae
Source: RNAcentral
GAAGGAUGGAGGUUGAGACAACGGCACUUUGAAACUGUAACUUCACUUGUUAGAUCUUGCCGGAGAUUCUUUCCAGCAGGUUCUGCCUCGGAGAUAUGGUCCGAGUUUAGUUCUCUAUUGGAAAAUCCAUGGCAUAAUUCAUCAUUUGAAGGAGCUGGGUUUGUGAGACUGUUUCUACCCACCAACUUGGACAACCGGGACUUCUAUACAGAUGAUUGGGUUAAAAAGAGUGUGGAACUGUGGGACUCCAUACCAAAUUGCCAAUUUUGGAACAGCCAAUGGGCA